GUUCUCUAUCUUAUUGUUCGAUAGCUUGAGUCUGGUCGAAAAUAAGAAAGUACAAUUAUAAAUCAUAUAACAAAGUAGAUUUGGGAAAUUAUUGAGUGCUCAAUUGAGGUAAGACUUGGAUUUAGUAAAAAAAAAAAUGUCGAAACUAGAUAAGAAAUCUGAAAUGUAAUUAAGAUUUAAAAAAAAAAAUCGAAAAAAAGAACUGAAAAUACCCCAAACACGAAAGUAAUAUCAAGGAAACAAAAUUCAAUUUGAAGCAAUAAACCCAUUUUGUCAAAUAGUGUGAAAUACAAUGGAAAAUCAAUACGACAAAUGAGUAAUCAUAGUGAGUGACAUCUUAAAAAAUGUUUAGAACAUACUCACCCCUUCUCG
Molecule: long non-coding RNA, 372 nt
Filed under: Mytilus galloprovincialis (Mediterranean mussel)
Lineage: Eukaryota; Metazoa; Mollusca; Bivalvia; Mytilida; Mytilidae
Source: RNAcentral